Molecule: ribosomal RNA, 254 nt
Filed under: uncultured bacterium
Lineage: Bacteria
Description: partial 16S ribosomal RNA
Rfam family: Bacterial small subunit ribosomal RNA
Source: RNAcentral
UACGGAGAGUGCAAACGUUGUUCGGAUUCACUGGGCGUAAAGGGCACGUAGGCGGUGUGUCGCGUCGGCCGUGAAAACCUGCAGCUUAACUGUGGGCUUGCGGUCGAUACGGGCAUCACUGGAGUUCGGCAGGGGAGACUGGAAUUCCUGGUGUAGCGGUGAAAUGCGCAGAUAUCAGGAGGAACACCGGUGGCGAAGGCGGGUCUCUGGGCCGAUACUGACGCUGAGGAGCGAAAGCGUGGGGAGCGAACAGG